AAAUCAGGGACCAAACCAUCUCGACGAUUAGGUCAAUUCCUAACCUAAUCGGGUCAAACCCAACUGAAUCCAAUUCAAUUGGACUUGAUCCAAAAAUAAUUACUCAGUCAAAUUGAGUUAAUUAGUGAUCAAAUUACUAAUUAAAUCUCUCAUAAAUACUAAGUCCAAAUCCGAUGGGCAAUCGGGCAUCAGAAUUCAUCGAUAUGUAACCCUGAUCGAAAAGUUCCAACCAGUGGGACUCUUGACCCCGGUACCCAUAAUGUGUGGAACUCG
This 273-nucleotide long non-coding RNA is filed under the name Elaeis guineensis (African oil palm). RNAcentral's name for it is "long non-coding RNA (EGUI_LNC079050)". Lineage: Eukaryota; Viridiplantae; Streptophyta; Magnoliopsida; Arecales; Arecaceae. The record is from RNAcentral.